Molecule: long non-coding RNA, 565 nt
Organism: Rosa rugosa (rugosa rose)
Lineage: Eukaryota; Viridiplantae; Streptophyta; Magnoliopsida; Rosales; Rosaceae
Exons: 5
Source: RefSeq, a predicted model, not a curated record
GAGCCUCUCCCCGGUUCUCUCUUCCUCUCCGACCUCUUCACCUUCUUCCGGCCAUAACUCCUCCAUCCGGCGACGGAUUUUGAAGUGUAAGAUGUCGUUGGAAAGCUCUCUUCCUUCUCUUCAUUUCUGGGUUCGUUUCGUAGCUUAAUAUGAACUGUGGAAGGUGCAGCAACGAGAAGAAGAGGACGGUCACUGUAGCAGUUUUGAGUCAACGCCGAUAUUUUCCGAUUCCGGCAGUCUCCGGCCACCAAAUUGGCGUCGAAGGGUUCUUGGAAUUUCUGGAAAAUUUUCACCGGCCAAAUUGGAGCUCUUCCAGGGCAAUGCCGCGAGCUACGGUUAAAUGAAGGAACUCGUUUGCGUGGUCGCCCAAUAGUACUUUUGCAGGCGAAAUUAGUUGAGGUCGGGCGUACAUGGAGUCGAGGCAUAGCCAACAGCAUUGCUUCCGCGUUUUGGGUAGCCUACUUUUAGGGGAAGUUCCGCCAAAUUUUUGGUAGAAUCUCUUCUAAAGUGGGCCCCGCAGGGCCACUUCGGAUUUCAGGGUGAAAUCUGGGGCGGGUCCUGUCAC